RNAcentral lists this ribosomal RNA (400 nucleotides) under uncultured bacterium. RNAcentral describes it as "bacterial SSU rRNA". It matches the Rfam family "Bacterial small subunit ribosomal RNA", at positions 29 to 419 of the family's 1533-position model. The record is from RNAcentral.
AACGAACGCUGGCGGCGCGCCUAAUACAUGCAAGUCGAGCGAGAAGACGUAGCAAUACGUUUGUAAAGCGGCGAACGGGUGAGGAAUACAUGGGCAACCUACCCUCGAGUGGGGAAUAACUAGCCGAAAGGUUAGCUAAUACCGCGUACGCUCCUUGGACUUCGGUUCAGGGAGGAAAGCGAUACCGUGGGUAUCGCGCUCUUGGAUGGGCUCAUGUCCUAUCAGCUUGUUGGUGAGGUAACGGCUCACCAAGGCUUCGACGGGUAGCUGGUCUGAGAGGACGAUCAGCCACACUGGCACUGCGACACGGGCCAGACUCCUACGGGAGGCAGCAGUAAGGAAUAUUGCGCAAUGGGCGAAAGCCUGACGCAGCGACGCCGCGUGGGGGAUGAAGGUCUUC